GCCAGGGUAGCUCAGUUGGUAGAGCGCGUGUCUGAAAAACACGAGGUCACCGGAUCGUCCCCGGUCCCUGGCACCA
RNAcentral lists this transfer RNA (76 nucleotides) under Roseiflexaceae bacterium. Its description in RNAcentral is "tRNA-Phe". It matches the Rfam family "tRNA". Rfam says of the family: Transfer RNA (tRNA) molecules are approximately 80 nucleotides in length. Their secondary structure includes four short double-helical elements and three loops (D, anti-codon, and T loops). The record is from RNAcentral. Lineage: Bacteria; Bacillati; Chloroflexota; Chloroflexia; Chloroflexales; Roseiflexaceae. RNAcentral also lists the same sequence under 3 other names.